ACGUCGUAGAAGACACCCGCUUUGAGAACUUUUCCCUCCGUUCACAACGACAGAGAACUUUACAAAGGACUCUUGCUCUGCCUGGCCUCAUCUAGUUACUGGCUUUUCUAGAAGCGAAUGGCCUCCUGGGCUUCCAAUGAACCAUACGAGUUUUGAGAACCUGAACAGGACCUGCUUAGCCAUUUUCAGAUUUAAUUGUGCCCGUUUGAAUGGUGGUCUUCACCAUUUCACUCAAAGUGCCCGCAGCAGGUACCACCUUCAGAGCUGGAGUGGAAAGGAGCCAAGUGCUGGAGCAGACAGGAGGGAAGGGAAAUACCCCACUUCUCCUCUUCCUCCCAUCCUCAUCUGAUGCCUCUGAUGGGCUGAAACCUGUCAGAAGCCCAACCUACAAUGGAGCCCAGGUAAUGCUGUCUACAGGGGUCAACCUGAAGAGGAGGUGAAGAAGGGCUGAGAGUGGACCAGGGAAGGGUUGGGCAGGCUGACUGUGGCCAGCACACUGGGGGUUCUUCUGCUGGGAUCAGGAAGUUGCCACUGCCCUCACCACACCUUGAUGUAUAAGAGCCAAGGUUGGGAUGUCCCAGUUCAAUGCCUGUGGUUGCAUCUGGAGUUCCAGAAGAUUGGAAUCUCCUAUCUGGCAAGCUUCCAAGAGAAGCAGGCUGUAGAUACUAAUCUGGGUCCCUCUUAGGUGGGCAGGGCCUCGGCCUGAACUGAGCUCCAGAGAAGGCUUGCCCUGGCCAUGCAUCUCUGCCUGGAUGUCUUGGAGCCUGAGAAGUUGCUGGACUGCCUGUGAUUGUGCAUGGUAGUAGUGUUUUUUGUUUUUGUUUUUUUUUUUUGAAGGCAGAGUCUCACUCUGUUGCCCAGGUUGGAUUGCAGUGCAGUGGUGUAAUGAUAGCUCACUAGCCUCAAACUCCUGGGCUCAAGCCAGCCUCCUGCCUCAGCCUCCUGAGUUGCUGGGACUAUACGUGCACAUUCUUACACUUGGCUUAUUUUACAAUUUUUAUGUUUGCAGAGAGGGGUCUUGCAUGUUGCCCAGGCUGGUCUCGAACUCUUGACCUCAAGUGACUCUCCCACCUCAGCCUCCCAAAGCACUGGGAUUACAGGCGUGAGCCACGGCAUCUAACCUUCACUGGGUUGUGUGACUGAUGCUGUCCUGCCCUUCUAGAAUGUGUGGACCACAUGUUGGUGAGGGCAUCCUCAAGCCCAAUCCAGAAGAAGUUGGGAUGAAAAAAAGGUCUCCACCCCAGGGCGGUGACUGUGUUAAGCCCACUUGGAAGGGUGAUGAAGAACAU
Molecule: long non-coding RNA, 1289 nt
Filed under: Macaca mulatta (Rhesus monkey)
Lineage: Eukaryota; Metazoa; Chordata; Mammalia; Primates; Cercopithecidae
Description: lncRNA (ENSMMUG00000053335.1)
Source: RNAcentral